GGAGCCGAUUGAGUAAGGAACAUGGCGGUUCAUUGGCAAGAUAGAGUGACAUGCUCGUGAGUGAAACUGCACAGACUUCUUACACACUUUUGAAUGGGCUAAUCCAUCAUCUUGUACACCGCUAUCUGAAACUUAGACUGUGACACUCUGAUUGUUAUGAUUGAGUUUAAUACGUAUAAAUCCAUUACAACACCUGUAAGUUAAGUUGAGGUACAGACUAUAGGUGUGUGACAGUGUGUCUCAGUAGUAGCUUUAGUGGAUUGGGCCAAGGGAAAUUCAGACAAACUGCCUUGGUAAACAGAAUUUAUAAGUAACUAGUUGAGUCAGAUGUGUAUCUCAAACACCUUGUGAAACUAGCAACGAUGAG
RNAcentral lists this ribosomal RNA (367 nucleotides) under Austrophilopterus subsimilis. RNAcentral describes it as "partial 12S ribosomal RNA". Lineage: Eukaryota; Metazoa; Arthropoda; Insecta; Psocodea; Philopteridae. The record is from RNAcentral.